This 254-nucleotide ribosomal RNA is filed under the name uncultured bacterium. Its description in RNAcentral is "partial 16S ribosomal RNA". It matches the Rfam family "Bacterial small subunit ribosomal RNA", at positions 524 to 776 of the family's 1533-position model. The record is from RNAcentral.
UACGUAGGGGGCUAGCGUUGUCCGGAUUUAUUGGGCGUAAAGAGCUCGUAGGCGGCUCGGUAAGUCGGGUGUGAAAACUCGGGGCUCAACCCCGAGACGCCACUCGAUACUGCCAUGGCUAGAGUCCGGUAGGGGAGCGUGGAAUUCCUGGUGUAGCGGUGAAAUGCGCAGAUAUCAGGAGGAACACCGGUGGCGAAGGCGGCGCUCUGGGCCGGAACUGACGCUGAGGAGCGAAAGCGUGGGGAGCAAACAGG